CAGAGAUGCUUGGUGCCUUCGGGAACUCUGAGACAGGUGCUGCAUGGCUGUCGUCAGCUCGUGUUGUGAAAUGUUGGGUUAAGUCCCGCAACGAGCGCAACCCUUAUCCUUUGUUGCCAGCGGCUCGGCCGGGAACUCAAAGGAGACUGCCGGUGAUAAACCGGAGGAAGGUGGGGAUGACGUCAAGUCAUCAUGGCCCUUACGGCCAGGGCUACACACGUGCUACAAUGGCGCAUACAAAGAGAAGCGACCUCGCGAGAGCAAGCGGACCUCACAAAGUGCGUCGUAGUCCGGAUUGGAGUCUGCAACUCGACUCCAUGAAGUCGGAAUCGCUAGUAAUCGUAGAUCAGAAUGCUACGGUGAAUACGUUCCCGGGCCUUGUACACACCGCCCGUCACACCAUGGGAGUGGGUUGCAAAAGAAGUAGGUAGCUUAACCUUCGGGAGGGCGCUUACCACUUUGUGAUUCAUGACUGGGGUGAAGUCGUAACAAGGUAGGCGUAGCGAG
Molecule: ribosomal RNA, 507 nt
Filed under: uncultured bacterium
Lineage: Bacteria
Description: bacterial SSU rRNA
Rfam family: Bacterial small subunit ribosomal RNA
Source: RNAcentral